UCGACGGAAGGCCCUGCUUUUGUGGGGUGCUCGAGUGGCGAACGGGUGAGUAACACGUGAGUAACCUGCCCUUGACUUUGGGAUAACUUCAGGAAACUGGGGCUAAUACCGGAUAGGAGCUCCUGCUGCAUGGUGGGGGUUGGAAAGUUUCGGCGGUUGGGGAUGGACUCGCGGCUUAUCAGCUUGUUGGUGGGGUAGUGGCUUACCAAGGCUUUGACGGGUAGCCGGCCUGAGAGGGUGACCGGCCACAUUGGGACUGAGAUACGGCCCAGACUCCUACGGGAGGCAGCAGUGGGGAAUAUUGCACAAUGGGCGGAAGCCUGAUGCAGCAACGCCGCGUGCGGGAUGACGGCCUUCGGGUUGUAAACCGCUUUCGCCUGUGACGAAGCGUGAGUGACGGUAAUGGGUAAAGAAGCACCGGCUAACUACGUGCCAGCAGCCGCGGUGAUACGUAGGGUGCGAGCGUUGUCCGGAUUUAUUGGGCGUAAAGGGCUCGUAGGUGGUUGAUCGCGUCGGAAGUGUAAUCUUGGGGCUUAACCCUGAGCGUGCUUUCGAUACGGGUUGACUUGAGGAAGGUAGGGGAGAAUGGAAUUCCUGGUGGAGCGGUGGAAUGCGCAGAUAUCAGGAGGAACACCAGUGGCGAANGCGGUUCUCUGGGCCUUUCCUGACGCUGANGAGCGAAAGCGUGGGGGAGCGAACAGGA
RNAcentral lists this ribosomal RNA (703 nucleotides) under Cutibacterium acnes. RNAcentral's name for it is "bacterial SSU rRNA". It matches the Rfam family "Bacterial small subunit ribosomal RNA", at positions 62 to 777 of the family's 1533-position model. Lineage: Bacteria; Bacillati; Actinomycetota; Actinomycetes; Propionibacteriales; Propionibacteriaceae. The record is from RNAcentral.